CCCCUGCCACGUAAGUUAAGUGGAAACGUAUUUCCACAUUUGCGUUUCGAUAAGAGAAAGCUUAAAGUACUGCAGCCUUUGCGCAGAAUACGUUUUCCUUGUUCAAAAGCGUAUUCCGUUUCCACUGCAUCUGAAAGUACGCUUUCCCUAUGCAGAAGACGUAUUACCUCAAAGGCAUUUUCUGUUUUCUCAUUCAUGGGCCUGUUUGUAGAAAUAUUUUACAGAUUGGUCCCUGGACUUCGUUGGGCUAUAACUUUUUGCUCGAGACUCUGAUUGAGGUGAAUCCAACGCCCACAUCUUCGUCUCGUCGAGCUCUAUCCGUUGGUGUCAUUUUGACAAAGUUGUCACGUAGUGAAAAUGACCUUUUUGCCAUUGCCCCUAAUCAGCCCCCUCCGAGGGAGAAACUUUUCCGGCGAUUCCCUCCGCGAUCUUUCUGCACUACUCCCAGGAGUAUUCUUCAUCCCCAGGCAAGCCACAACCACCAUUUGCAUGAUAGCCAUGCAGUAGUAUUGGUUUUCAACUUGAAUUUUAAAUAACUAUCUAUUUGUUUUGCUACUGCUAUUGUUGUUUCAGUUAUGCUUUGGAUCUGUGUUUACUUUCAUGAUAUGUUUUAUACACCUGGUUAUCAUGCACUAGUUGCUAGUAUUUCUGUCAUAUGUCAUGUUUUGUAGUAUUUCAUGUUGGUGUUGGUCAUGUACUUCGAAGCAUGACUAUCGUCUGCUACCGAGUAUCGUGAUUAGGCAUGUUCCAUUGCAUCUAGAUGGUUAUAUGCUUCUUGGUAGUAUUGUUGAUAUGUUCUUGAUUAGUAUUUAUUGUUUAUGCUGGUCAUGUUAUGCUAUGCGUAUUGUUAUGCUUGUGAUAUUCAUGCUCGUCAAUAUGCCGUACUCAUUCGGAUAUACGAUUCAUUGUUGAUAUGGUUGAUAGUUAUGUUGCACCCCAUGCUUAUAUCAUGCUCAUGCAUUGUAAUUGCAUCAUGUUAUUUUAUCAUGGCUCAGCAUCUUGCAUUCAAGUUUAGCCGGAUUAAAUUGAACUUGAACAACUAUUGGCUGAGUCAUGGUGCCACCAUAACGAGCUGACUAGGGCAACCACAUUUACCUUUAAUGGGGAGGUCCUAACUGGGUCUAUUGUCAUGCCUCUCGCCGGUGCCUCCAACGAGGGAAGGUUAUGCGCGGGCGCUACCCUGAUGAGGUAGGACGGCAUAAGCCUUGUGUGCCCGUAGUUGUUGUAGCCGGCAUUUCCCCGUUUGGGACCGUUUUUGUUUUGCCACGACGGUGUCCGUUGAUACCUUUGGUAGGCACGGGGCCACCCAGGACUUGUACCAGGGGGGAGCUGGCCGAAGUGGCCUGGGAAGUGUCAUGGCAGUAGGACGGUUUUGUCGGAACGCCAUUGGUCCACCCGAAUGGGAGUACGAGGCCAUGGGUUCCGUGGUGUGGGUACAGUGCACUACCUCUACACAGUGUGUAUUAAAUCUAUCGAUAGCCGCGCCCGCGGAUAAGGACCCAGUUCGUAGUUGGUCACACUAUGGGUCAACAGUAAUAAUAAUAAUGUGCUUAAUAAUAACCCAGGUCCGAUGAUGAGGAAGAGGUUGAUUGUGAUCGUGAGAUGAUCACCGUGGUAUCGAGGAUACCGAGUUGUUGGAUAUUUGUGGUGUUAUGCGGGAGUCACGGGUUAAGGUCAAGCUCCUUGUGGUCAUGAAUGAUUACUACGUUAUUGUAAUACCAAGCUUGAUUGGAUCAUGAGGUGAUCGUGUGAUGUCCGUGAUGGUAAGUUUGUGCAUGUGAUGGUUACGAGGUUACCCGAGCAGAGUAAGUUGGUGCAUGAUGGCGUUAUCAUGUUGCAUGUUAGUAUCAUCAUGUUCACAUGUUCAUGCCAUGCUUGUAUUGUUCUAGCUAUAUCAUGUUUAUCUUGUUCAUGCUAUGAUUAAUCUGAUAGUAUCAUGUUAAUCCUUGUUAACCUGUAUUGCCAUGUUGUUGUGUGUCUUGAUUGCUCUUGGUUGCUGUGAGCUUGCAAGUACAUUCAAUGUACUGACCUGGCGUGUCAUGCCAGUUUGCAGGUCAUGCAGGAUUUGAUUGCUUGUUUGCCGUGGAUUCCUUGUUUGCGAGCUAGGAUAAGUGUCCCAGUCAGAAUCCCUGCGGAGUGGAGUUCAUCACCAUCGUCGCUGUUCCGCUGCCAGUAGUGAUUCCACUGCUUCGUGUUGUUCUGCUACUUGCAUAGAGAAACCGUGGCCGGCGUAGUGUCGCCAUGCCGAUGUAUCCCCUUGUACCCAAUAUAGAUUGAAAUAAAGAGCUGAUUUGU
This 2295-nucleotide long non-coding RNA is filed under the name Triticum aestivum (bread wheat). RNAcentral describes it as "long non-coding RNA (TAES_LNC000549)". The record is from RNAcentral. Lineage: Eukaryota; Viridiplantae; Streptophyta; Magnoliopsida; Poales; Poaceae.